RNAcentral lists this transfer RNA (75 nucleotides) under Mycobacterium noviomagense. RNAcentral describes it as "tRNA-Ser". Lineage: Bacteria; Bacillati; Actinomycetota; Actinomycetes; Mycobacteriales; Mycobacteriaceae. The record is from RNAcentral.
AUCCGGUCGAGCAGCGCCGGAUGAUGCACGAGUCGCUGGAAGCGAUUCUGGCGCUGUUCCGCGCCGCACCCGGUG